GAGGCCUCUCCCAGCAUAGAGUAUGAUGAUGACGAUGAUGACAAUGAGGGCAUGGAGGUCCGACUGGGCUUCAGCCUCGAGGCUGAACUUUGGUCUGCGUUAGCCUCGGCAGGCCCAUUCAUUGGCGCAGACGUACCCACGCAGGGGCUGACAGCGUCCCUAUCCGAGGCGCGGACGUCAGCCAAGUCGGACCCCAUCCUCAUAGCCAUAGAUGAGGCAUGGGCCAUGGAGGAGAGACCGCUACCCUGCCUCAGGUGCCUGCCAUGGGGAUCGUGGAGGAAAAAGUCAUCGUACCGCUCCAAGUGCCCACCACGGGGCAAAGGGGCCCAAGGAGCCGGAAGCCGAGGGUGGACGUGGAUGUCGUACCUCGGUCCGGGCACUAAGCGCCGAGCCCACAAGCCGACCUUAACCGCUACCAAUGCGGUGAAGCGCAACAUUAGGACGUCGACCAGGGCCACAUCCCGCUCCCACGUGUGGCUCGACGCUGCCAAGGAAAGGAGGCCAUCCAACAGGGUGCCGAAGCGACCCGGAUUGUCCUCAGUGGGUAGGCCGGGUAGGAUGCUACUGUCGCAGAGGCGGCCAUGGCCCCUCCGGCGCCACUGGUCGAGGCCAUCCUAGUGAUCUCUACCGAGGAGGCGGCGGGGGUGGCAGACGCAACGUCGACCAUGGCAUCGCCCACCGUCUCAGACCUCCUACGCGGCAUCCCCGACACCCCAGAUGCCACCCGGAGCCCCGAGGCGGCUAACUUCGAGGGGGCCCAGUCCCUCGAGGCGACCUGGGGAAUCAGUCGAGGAGCAUAUCAUCCCACCCCCAUCAUCGGGGUGGGUGGUGACCUUGUUCGCGCUGGACUAUACCUCUCGACGUGGGAAGGGCCGACCGUGACAUAGAUGGCACUGAGGGCAACCCCUACUUCGUCCUCGAUGACGCAAAGGAGAAGUAGAUGUGGUCAGAAUUCCGAACAAUAGAUCGGGGGCUUAUGCGAAGUCCGCGACCAAGUCGAUUUUCAUUCAUCGUGAGCGCGACGUCUGGGCCGUGUUGCAACACCAUCAGGCCAUGUAUUGUCGUUCAAACGAACAACUGGCUUUGAAGAGUGUCGAGGCGAUGGACCUU
Zea mays is the source of this 1110-nucleotide long non-coding RNA. RefSeq lists it as uncharacterized. Lineage: Eukaryota; Viridiplantae; Streptophyta; Magnoliopsida; Poales; Poaceae. The transcript has 3 exons. The record is from RefSeq and is a predicted model, not a curated record.